Non-coding RNA from Ornithorhynchus anatinus (platypus), 74 nucleotides. Lineage: Eukaryota; Metazoa; Chordata; Mammalia; Monotremata; Ornithorhynchidae. The record is from Rfam.
CGGUGUGAACAGGUUACAUGUGGAGCAGUGUGAUAGUGGAAUAUGCUGCAUCACCUGUGACCUCCCUCCACCGC